Molecule: non-coding RNA, 15551 nt
Organism: Equus caballus (horse)
Lineage: Eukaryota; Metazoa; Chordata; Mammalia; Perissodactyla; Equidae
Source: RefSeq, a predicted model, not a curated record
UCUGGAGGGUGGGGAAAGCCGGUUCAGCUGGACUUUGGGGUGGGAAUUCUCUUCUCCGUUUAGACCUCUCGAGGUGAACGAGGCGUCCCCUCGCUGCUGGCGAGGCGGAUGGGUUCGCUGGUCCAGCAGAAACGUUUCCACUGUGGACUCUGUUAUUUCCUCUUUCGCACGCCCCGCGGUCCCACCCUGGGACUCCCCGGGGCCCCUCGCCUCCCCCCGGAAGGGGGCCGCAGGUCACAGCCGGGAUGUUCGGGAGCCGGGCGAGGGAAGGUAGGGCUCGUGCCGCUACCCGGGAAUGCCGAGGCGAUUUCGCCAUGUUUGUGUUGCGAAGAGCACUUUUUUCCCCUUUGAGGUGGCUUGAUGCCACAUGGCUCCUCCGGAGCUGCUGCCGGGCUGAGUGUGUGUGCUUUUUUUUUUUUCAAUGUCCGCAUUCCAGCUAAUGUUGCGCAGAUAAAAUUCAAACUUGAGGUAAACAGAAGAGGAGGAGGAGGAGGAGGAGGGGAGGGAGGGAGGGGGGAGACUGUUUCCAUUUCGAGAUCCCACCUCUUCACUCCGCGGAGACCAACAUCCCGAACCUGGCGAGCACUCGCUCGUUUCUCCCACCUACCCCACCUUUGCUGUCCACAAGAAAUAAGGCGGCGGGGAGUGGGGGUGCUUAGAGAGGACGCCUGGGUUCUAAAAGGGGAAAACAGCCCUCGGCACUCAGGCCUUUGGCCACCUCCCUCGUUCCUUCGGGAGGGACCAAGGAUGCCUUGGAUUGCUCUGGAGCUGGGGGACGGGAGGACAGCGCUCCCGGGCGGGGCGAGGGGCUGCCUGUCCCCUCUCACUCCCUCUUACUUUAGGGUACCGGAUGGUAUCGCUCCCACCCCAACCCAGGCGCAGGUUCCAGAAGGCGGGCUGGGUGGGUCUCCAGGUUUCCAGAGGGCAGGUUGCGUAGCAGGUGUGUGGUGGGCAUUUCUAUUUUCUAAGUCUUGCAUUUGGUGGGACGACGUGGGUAGUCUUAAAGUGAUUGGAUGUUCAGAGCUGCGUCUUAAUUUGCUUUUUUUUGCGAAUUAGGGAGAAAAAUCAAGACCUUACCUCCCCCCCUUCCCCCCGUUCCGCUGUAAAAUAUCUGAUUCAGCUCGAAGCUAAGCAGAAGGGAAGGAAGAAAUGGCGCUGCGUUACCGAUGGACAUACGUCUGUGUGCAGUGGCAGAAUACAGACUCUUCGUCACAUUUCAUUACCCCAUAAUAUUCAGGUUUGGUAUUACAGAGCUAUUUGUACUGUCCCAUUAGAGCUUUCUGAGAUGAUAGAAAUGAUUUAUAAUGAGGUGUUUGUAAUGACUUAGAAGUGAUAGCCACUAGUCACUUGAGGCUGUUGAGUACUUUAAAUGUAACUAGUGUGACAUAGGAACUGAAUUUCUAAUUGAUUUAAAUGGAAAUAGCCACAAAUGGCUAGUGGAUACUGUACUGGACAGCACAAUUAGAGAGGACUGAUUAUGUUUAAGUUUAGUAUUUGACAGGUAAAUGUUUAGGCCAAGGUCUUCUGCCUUUAAAAGAAAAUCUUGGUUCAUUUUCUGGGGCUUAACACUGUGUGUCUGGUUCAUAGAUUAUAAGGUGUUUACUGGGUGCUAUUUUGACCUAUGUGAGGCCUUCAUAUUACAGAGCGUUUGUCUGUGUGUUCUGUGAGCUUUUCAUGUAGUUCAUGUGGUCUCCCUUUUUUAGGAGCAGAGUGGAGUGAUGACGAGUAAUUAUGAUUAUGAAUAAUUAUUUACAAAUCAAAUGGAGUUGAGCCCUUGGCGUGUAAACUGAAUGGAAGUCCCGUAAGUUCAGUCAACGCUUCUCUAAGAUGUCUUGUGAGGAGCAUGAGCUGUGUUUGUCUUGCUGGCUGUUGUCUCCCUCGUGCCUCAUAGACUGCCUGAUGCCCGGCGAGUGCUCAGAAAUGUUUGUUGAAUGAAAGAAUGUUGAAAUAAUUUUAACCCCUCUAAUUUAACUUCAGAGGGUAUAUUGUGGAGCUGAAGAGGAGGCUGAGGACCAGUAACUUCACUGAAUUUACAGUCCUUCCAAGGAAGGCCAUCUCUCCAGAGCAUUAUUGUUAAUUCAGUGACUCUCAUUUCUUUCCUGUAAAGUAUGUAGCAGGGAUUAUUACCCUUCUUUGACGACGAAUUGAAAAAUAAAGGUACAAAAUUUGGUCAUAGAGGUCAUCCACAGAGAGUUGGAAGUGUAAGUCAGAAAGAAGUAGUUGUUUCUGUGGCCUUGUGUGCUCAUCCCUGGUUCUUCCGAGAAAUAAAAUCACACGCUGAACUGUAUUAGUUAGAAAAUUUGGUUUGUAAAGUCAAAGGUGACUAAACAUGUUAGUGGGGUUGGAAAACAGGGUUGAAAACAUCCCUAGUCUGGCAUGACAUUGAGAAAACAGCUUCAGUAUGAGAAACAGGAAUGGAAACGUUUAUUUCUGAAACCUCUAAAUCUCAAUCUGUGGUAAUCCUGACACCCAAGUUAUAAACUUCUCAAAGAGGAUAUUUAAAGUGUAAAUAGAAACAGAUGUGUAGUCGGGGAGAUAACCACUACUAGACUUUGAAAUAUUUAUAUAAAAAGGUACGAGAUACAUCAAACAUCUGUUUAGAACGAGAGCCCUAGGGCCGAAAAUUGUAGAUGUCGUUUCAUGUGGUCGAUGUUGCAUUGGUGGGUUGAUGACGCAGCCGAGUAUGUGGUCUUGUCCUUGUAGGAGAUGAUGCAUAGUGUACCCUCCGUGCUGUGCGUCAGAGGCACCUACUUCGUGGUGUUGUGUGUGGCUUGAUUCUAGGCCUGUCCUCGUUCCUGGGACACAGUCUAGCUUCCUAUCAUUCUGCCACUAUGUGUUCCACAAAUGAAAACUAAUUUUAUACAAGAGAAAAUAAAAAUCUGUUGACUUAAAAAAAAGUCAUAGGAUACAUUCCAAGAUAAAAUCUGAAGUUUUUUUUGGGGGGGGGAGGGUUACUUUGUUUUUUUAAUCAAUUUUUGGCCUAUUAGUCCUUUAUGAUUGCUUUUCAAAGCCUUUAAUGUGAACUCUUUGGUGGAGGGGGGAAAAGCCCCCAAAACCGAAAGCAGACUGUCAGCUAUGUCCCGUAAAUUCUUGCUGUUGCCCGCAAAACCAAACCGAAACAGCCAUAACAAGACAAAACCCACUACUGCUAUCAGCAACAGAAGUUAACCCAACCAGCCAAACAAACAGAGAAGCCUGUGAGCCCUGACUUGUUGCUUUUGUGGGGAGGUCAAUAAUGUGAAGUCUUUUUUCGGUACUACAUGUAAAUUACUCACAACAAGAAAAUUUGUAUCUGCCUGUCUGUCUAACUGUGACUUAAGAAGUAAUACUGCAGUAUAACAAGAUGUUUCCAGCCUGGGAAAUCCUGAGGGCCUGCUUGGAUUCAGGUGUACUGUUUAAGAAUUAUUUUGAAGGUUUAUUGAGAACUAUCUCUGGUGACCUUGGUCACUAACUUGAUCUAAGACUUGCAGUUUCUGGCUUCAUUUCUUUCUCAUCAAUGAGUGGCUGGAUUGAUCGGUGGUUCUCAGACUUUAGUGUGUAUGCGAAUCACCGAGGGCUUGUUAAAACCCAGAUUGCUGGACCCCCCCCCUGCAGUUUCUGACUCAGUAGGUCUGGGGCGAGUCUCAUCAUCUGCAUUUCUUACAAGUUUCCAGGUGAUGCUGAUGCAGCUGGUCAGGGGACCACAUUUUGAGAACCGCUGGAUUAGAUAAUCUCUUCUAAAGGGGUAUGAUUCUGUGCCUGUUUUUCCUUCUUUUCCAGUUGCAGCACCUGUUGUUUGAUUUCUGCACUGUUCCAUCGUUUAAGGAUUGCUGUAUGGCAAACUGAGUUUUAAAAGUAUCAGAUGGAUACAGAGUUUCUUGAGAAUUCCAUAUAUUUUGCAAAAACCUCUGGUCUGUUAAAACUCAGAUUGGGUCUUCUUACUUAAGUAGAGUAGAUGUCUCCAGUUAAAAUAUAUUGACGUAUUUCUGUUGUUAUUAAAUGACAGACUAUUUGCCGCUCCUUAAACCUAAGUGUUGUAUCAAAACGAACCAAGGACCUUUUAAGAGACAGCUCCAGAGUAUGAUGCGGUACCUUACAUAAUUGUGGGCUCACUAAAUAAAUGGUUUUUAUGAGACAUAGUUUUUUUCCUAGUUAAAACUCACUGGAUUUGGAUGCAUAAUAAGACUCCAAUAGCGUUAACCUAGACAGUCUCGGAAGCCAACUGCCUCACAGAAGAUUCGUGGUUGCAGGAAAGAGAUGUCAGCCGAGAGAUGAAGAGUAAGUCAGGGCAUAACCAUUCCCUGUUUUGGGGACUUUGGGGAACACUGGAAGCUCUGCAGUUUCUAAAUAAAGGGGCUCUGGGGCUGGAGUCUGGAAGGAAAGCGAUGAGAGACCAGGAGACGUCUUCAAGCAGCCCUUGGAGAGCCAGCACACUGUUCUUACCCAGAGGGCGUGUUUAUUUGGGGGAAAGGGUCUGGCUUUGGGAGGGGUUCAUGGAGAGUCCGAGGCGUUCUAACAGGUGGUGCUCUGGAGGCAUUCCAGAUCACACCAGACUCCCAGAUGCCAAGAGUCCGAUGGACUCAAGGUUUGAGGUGAGUUGAAGUGAGGUUUGACAAUACAUUCUCAAGUGAGUUAAUUUUUUGAAGAGGAAAGAAUAGUAAGAUUUUGGAGGGAAAAAAAAAAUCUCAUCUAAGAGGAAGGAAAUAAAAAAGAAGAGUAGGGAAUGGGAGGGUAAAAAUGAAAAAUUUUACAUUUUGAGGUGUUCUAAAACUCUGUGUAUGUCAAGACUAGUCACUAGCACAGGCUUCUUUGUUAGAAAAUAAGUUAAGGAGUUUUCCUAUUCAUUUCCAGUGAAUACUUCAGGAUAUCACCAGAUACUAUUAUUUGACUUACAUCAAAUGGCUUUUCAAAGUUAGGCCCAGAGUUCAUGCAGUGCUUACUUUUUUAGGUGGCUUUAUGAUCGCUAACCAGUUUAGAUCAAAUUCCUGGCAGGCACGUGCUGUACUUAUGGCCCGGCGGGUUUAUGGAUUAGGGAGCAAGUCAUUUGUGUAGCGUAGGCCGCAGAGCUGGGCUGAGACCAUGGGGUCUCAUUGCUUUUCACAUUUGCCCAUGGUAGUUUUGUCUUGAAAGUCUCUGUUUUCUAACUGCUCUUAUAAAAUGUUUGAACUUUAAAUCUUGGAGUUGAUUUAGCAUCUGUAUAAUUGAUUGUAGAUUAUAUUUCGUGGAUAUGGCCCUGAGAUUUUGACCUGUUUAUUUCUUUGAAAAGAACUACAUGUGAUUUGCUACUCAGAUGUGCAGGCAUUUCUUGACUCAAAUAUCUGUGACAUAAUCUUCGUAACUAAAUCUGUGAAGCUGUUUUGAAUUCUUUGGACUUGACAGUUUGAGGCUGGGGUUGGCAGUCUGUAUGACAAGAGUGCCGGGGGUGGCCCACGGGCCAGUUAUCCUGGAACAGCCAGGGGGAGGGAGGUGUUGCUGUCUGAUCCCCUCCCCCAACUUUCUUAGAGUUUGCCACCCCCCCCCCCACCAAUCCUUCCUCCCCUCCUCCUCAGGACGUUUAAAAAGCUUCCUGUGCUUUAGAGAAUUAAGACACUUAGUGUUUUUCUUGUGUAAUCACACUAGCACUUGGCGACAUCAGUCUUUGCUCUCCCGCGUCUCUCCAGGUUCCUUUCUUCCAACUUCGGGUAUUUCUCUUUCUCUCACAGCUGCACAUCUAGCUUCUCCUGCUGACUCCUGAUUGGCCAUAGCCCCCAUGUGGAUUUCCUUUAUCGUCCUUUCUCCACAUUUUCCUCUUCUUCCUUUGCUGGUUAGAAGUUCUGUUUCUGUGCUGUGGCAGAUCUUACUUAGUUUGAUAGGAAGAGUAUUGAGGUAGGAUAGUUUUAAUAACUGUGAUAAUGAUGAGUGGGUACCUAUCUCUUUGGAUACUGAGCUUGGUGCUUAUAUUCUUUCCACUGAAUUCUAGUUCCCACUAGCUAUAGAACCUUAGGAGAGUGUCCAAGUCUGUGCCAUAGGCUGCUCAUCUGUAAAAUGAGGGGUUGGGGGAGCAAGGUGUUUCUCGCCCUAAAAUGCCGUGGUUGAGUUUAUUCACAUUGUGGUCUGGUUGUAAACUCUCAUGAGAAUACUUGUGGAGCUUUUUGAAAGACACCUGUUAAACAAGACUGGUCUCAGUGCAUCAGGACAUCCAGGACUCCCUAAAUUAGGUCAUCUGCAGUAUGGCUGGCCAUCUUUUUCCUUUAGGAGUUAGGGAUGGCUCUCAAGGGCACCCUUCUCCAUACUUGUGCUGUCUGCAUCAGAAGACCCAAAAUUGAACCAGAACUGGAAAGGCUGUUGACCGUGAUUUGGAAGACCCUGCUGCUCUCAUCUCCACGCUGGAGGCCCUGGGCUUCUAGAGACGUCCUUUCAUUGAUGGUAUUCAGACCACUAGGGGAGUUUCUGGGAACCUGCUUAAUACUUGUAUUAAUUCUUGUACAACUCAGGAAAACAGUCCUACCUCAGAUCUUUCUCUUGCAAAAUUGUGUGUGGUCUGUGACCUUGAGUGCUUGUUUCCUGUUUCUAGGGAAAUUUUUGUUAGUAUUGAGUCUUUUUGUAAUGUUCACAACUACCUCAAGCUACUUAUCUGUACCUUGUCAAGGCCACUGACGAUUGUUUUGCUUUCUGCUUUUAUAUUGAUGUAUCAUGCAUUCAUUGCACCUAUUGUCCGUUUUCUAAAAAAUCUACGAUUAUCUUCUUUUGUUUUUUUAUGUUCCCGGCAAGGUUAAUCGUUGCUAUGCUAAGAACACUCACUUCAUCAGCUUUGUCCUUAGUGUCACUCGUAUUCCUUCAGCUUUUCCUAUUGUUUAGCUUUUCAAAAUCGUGUAAUACCUACUUUUUAUAGGCCCUGUCUAUUGUGAUGGCUCUUCAGUCUUCAGUGAUUAUUGCCUAAAAAUGCAGGUCGGGGAUUCGGGACCAGGGAGCUCUCUUGCCACUUUUCUUCCUUAGAAGCAGAAGCAAGCCAGUAAGUUCAGCUCGCGUUCAAGGGGAACGGAUUAGAGCGCAGCUUGUAAGGAGGGGAGUGUCAGAGAAUCUGGGAACGUAUUUUAAAGCCAGCCCACUAUUUGUGUUCUGAAGAAGAGGGGUGAUGAUGUGACUGUGAAGGGGGAAGAUACCACAGUGUCUAGCGAGGGGUUAAUCUGAUAUUAAAGGAGAAGUGAAGGGAGGGAGAAAUAGGAGGUAGACCCUGGUAAAGCCAUCCAGCAGUCACGUUCAGUAAUGAUGGAUUUAGUCAGGGGAGAUGAGAGAGGAGAGGUAGGACCCAGGUGAGGGAUGCCCCAGAGUGAGGAGAGAGAGGAAGAGGAGAGUGAAAAAAUGGUCUUGAGGUUUUCAGGUCUGCAGAACGAUCAGGCAUGUAAUAACUGGAAAAAGAAACCAGUUUUGAGGGGAUAUGGCUGCUUGCUUGGUUUUAGACAUUCAAGGGGAAAUUCCUAAGCAGCUGAAACUAUAGACCCAGGGCUCAUGUUGAAAUGUCUAGCCAAGGAGGGAAGUUUCAGAUUUGUCAUCCCGGCAGUGAUGGUUCGAUUCUUCAAGGGGUGAGCACGCGGAGAGGCCUGAGCACUGAGGACCAAGGCCUUGAGGGAAGCUGUGGUUUGGAGUCUGAUCGGGAGGAGGCAUUAGAUCUGUAGCAUUAGGGAGAAGGAAGGGCCAGCAGUGUUCUGGCAGGGACGAACAAAGUGGCGUGAUCCAGGGCUUCAGAUGUUGCAGAAUCUGAAGAGAACGAUGUUCGAAAUGAAUGCAUCUGCCUGUAAGAUUAUUAGAGGUGACAGCAGUUUAAGUGAGGGAGAACAAUUUUGGAAAUUGGAUUAUAACGUUUAAUUCGAUGAUUAACUUUUUAAAAAGUGCUGGAGGUGGGAGGAUGAGUGGCUGGCAUGUCUUUCAUCACUUAGGUUUUGAGAUCUUACAUCCUUCUUGCCUCCUUUUAGCACCACCAAGCCUCCCUGGAAUGGUACUUCUACUCAGUUCUUGGACUGAGGGAUGAAAUGGGAUUUUACCUCACUUGUUUUCAGGAAAUCUUUUCACUGCACCUUAUUCACACUGUUCAGGGUUAGAAGAGAUGGAGUACUUUACCAUCUGGAGUUUCUCUGCCUCGUUGAUGAUGGAAGCGCAAACCUACCGGUUUAUAGGAGAUGAUAGAUAACACCUUGUAACGUCUGAGUUGCAAAAAUAUCUGCCUCUAAGAACUCAGGAGGACCGACUUUGUGGGAGCAGAGAUAGUGAGUCAAAGCUGCAGGCUUGGAGAGGAGCGUUCGUUUGAGCCUCUUCGCUCAGUCGGGAGAUUUCCUAGGCAACCGUUUAUGUGGUCGUUAAAGGAUGGGGAACUCAGAGGUAUGCACUUGGAAAUUUUAAUCCUCAGAUGCAAUCCCUAUCAGAUCGAGACCUCAGUUUUCAUUUUUUCGUUUAAAAUAAGUAAAUUAAAAAGCUUAACACUCAUAUGGGAAAAAUCACUAUUAUUAAGACGUGUGUGCAUUGCGCUUUAUCCUUCUCUCUUUAACACGCUCUGAUGGGAAUGUUUAUAUGUAUUUGUGCUGGCUUAUUUGGGAAAGCGGAAGAGAGUUACUGCUUGAGGUGGUUUUGUUUAGCUGUGAAGUUAUUGGAAAAGCAGGUAAUCUUUGCACGUGCCUGUAUCUGAGUUGGUUAUCAUUGGUAGAAUUUCCAGCAUGUGGGAAAGAGAGGUUUAUUAAUCGUUCGUUUCUUCUUUGAGUGUUUAUGCUUGAGUUUGUCUUUGUCCCAGUGCUUUGGUGGUGUCAGUCUGCCUUAGGUUGCACUGAAACGGACUGCUCUGGGGCUUGAGGGGAAGUGUGGAACAGCAGUCAGUGAAUCGGAAUCGAGGGGUAGACACCCCUUGAUCUGCUGAAGACUUUCCGCUGACCCUUCCCUCUCAUCCAUUUGCUCUAGGUCUCUUGGAUGGCUGGAAGGAUACGGGAAACGUUUCUCUUCCUCUGUGACCCACUAACACUCCCAGACGUUCUGUAGCACGGACUUGGAUUACAUUCUAUUUCAAUGAAUAAGGUGGCUUUUUUCAUGCACCAGUGAAAGAGGAAAGUCCUACAGGUUAUGUGACAGAUUCAUUUUCGCUAGUGUUAGCAAUAAUCUGAAAAGAACCAAAAUAUUAAAAUAUUGGCAGUGCUGAUUUUAAAUAGGGUUAUGUUAUGAUCCUGGCUCAGGUGUUGUGUGGAACUGUUAAACGUAAGAUGAAAUAUAGAAAAUGGCCUUUCUCUCCCAGAGACUGAGAGGGCCUGCCCCUGACCCUGAGCACCUGUGGGCGUUAUACGAACGUUUGGAGCUUCUGGCCUCAAUAAAGCAAAUUUUUUCUUUGGAUGCUCCUGUUGAUUCCCUUCUACCACCAACGACUGUGAGACUCUCCUGCUUUAGAGAUGUGGUGGCUUAAGUUAGGAGAACUUUGUUGUUACGGUUUUUCCCUCUUCCCUAGGUUCCUAGAUCUGUGCAAGAAAUUGUGGUGGCAAAUCCUGGUCCAGAGCCAGGACUUGGCACUCUCUUUUUUCCUCUAUAGCAAAGGUGAAAAUUUUCUGAUUCUUGGAGUGAAAAUGCAUGGAAGUGUAUUUAAUUCUUACGAAGUCCAUUUUGACAGUGACUCUUUAGUGGUAUUGACGAUGCGCUUCUACCCUUAAUUUGAAUUUGUUUCAUUUAAUUACAUAUUUGAAAUACCAGACUGUAGUUUAUGAACUACCUUAAGUUAUUUUUAAACAAGGUGGGUUACAAAUAAGGUAAUGCUUAGAUUUGUUCUUUAUAAUAUCUGCAUUUUCACUUUUUUGUGUGAGAUAAAAACUGACUUGUUGAUCGAUUCAUGCAUUCAUUCACUGAAUGUCUCCUGUUUGCAAUCACUGUACUAGGCACUAUGCUUUGGGGAUAGAGAUUAAGACCUAGUCUCUAUUUUAAAGGUGCUGACAAGUCCAAAAGGAGAGACAUGCAAAUAAGUACUGUUAAAGCGCCUCUGAACAGUCCCUUGGAGGAGAAGAGCCAUGAAAUAGUUCUUUAGUAACGUCAAAGGCUGCGUCAUAAAUGAGUUCAUCUUUGAACCUGUGACAAAAUGUCGGAAGAUGGAAAGAUUGUAAACAUAUACCAGAUGCCCACAUCUUCAAUAUAAGUGACGUGGAAAUGGAUUUCCAAUUUGGAGGCAAACCUUUGUUUCUAAUUGCCCCACCUUCAUUGGAUGACCCAUGUAUUUCCCUGACUACAUGGAUUUUGGGGCUCGUAUCACCAGCAAUCUUCUCCCCAACUUGCUAUAGCUCCCCCCCCCCGAUCUGCUCCUGGCUCAGCCCUCUGCAAGGAGCCCUAUCCAAGACCCCAGUGCAUAUGAACAUUUUGCUCAUUCUCAUUUAAUCUUCAUAAAAACCUGGCAGGUAGGUAUCGCUUCCUUCCCAUUUACAGAUAAAGUAACUAAGAGUCAGAGACUGAAGAUUCUAGAUGGUUUUAGAAACUAAACGAUUUGCCAGGGUCAUGAUGUAACAAGUAGCGGCUGACUGUGUGUGUCUAUAGUGGCCCUGCAGCGUGAGAAGGGUGACACUUAAUAGAACCAGAUCCAGCAUCCUCACUGCUGUGUGGGAAAUCUCUUCAUCUCCCUAAAUCCAAAAUAUGCCUUGAAACAGGGUGGGAGGUGGGGACAGGAAGGCUGCCUACUCGUCAUAUGCGUGCCUGCUCCCUUUCUCCUCUCAUCUGGAAAUGUCACCUAACUUCAGAUGGGGGUUUCUCAUGGCAGCUGGCUAAUUGCAGUCUGGAAAUGGAGGCCUCUUGGUGGGUAGCACUCAUUGAGACUAUGUAGGGAAAUCAAAUGAUACUCAGACUCUGCAAAAAAUAUGUUAGGUCUGUGCAUUGCACAGAGUAAAGACUCCACAAAUGUUUGUUGACUUUUGAAGCAUCGAGGGGCGACCUUUGAAAUUUGGAGAUGUGGGUAUCUGUGGGUGUGCCAUCCACACACUGUGCACAGCCUGCAUCUGGCUAAAGUGGUCCCAAGGCUGGGUUUGAUUGAUACGGCAUAGCUAGAGUAGAACUUAAUGAUCCCUAGUCAAAGCGAGAGUCAGAGUCAUAUGGUAGAAGCUGAGUUGAGUGUUAACUAUGAAGAACAAAACUACAAGUGGAUCAGAAACCAACAGGAAUUGGAAUUAAGAGUAGAUUCCAACACAAGAAGCUGUUCUGGGCAAGAGAUGUGGGAUUGAGGCUCUGUAGUAGGGUUUAAUAUGAGCAAACCCUACAUCUAGCCUUUCCGCUUCCAGGCAUAUGUCUCCUGAGAGACUUGAAACAUGUGCAUAAAGAGACAAGAGCAUGAAGACACCACCAUUUAACUCCUAUGGAUGCAGGAAUACAUAGCAAAAAUAUGAAGACAUCCAUGGAAUUGAUAAACAAAAUUCAGCAUAGUGGUUUGAACUGAGCCUAUUUUUUCUCAUUAAUGCAUGAUUCAAUAGUCGUAAGUCACAAUGACGCUGUCUAGAAUCCUAUUCUCAAUUAAUAGAUAUGGGUUUUCUGUGUGUUUGUUUUUUUGGCUCCUAAGACUGAUAGAAAUACAGGGCCGGAAGGACUUAGAGAGAACAUCAGACCUCUCCCUUUGUAGAGGAGGAAGCCGGGAUGCUGGGAUGAAAAUUCCAGGAGACAAAUGGAAGAAACAGAAGAACUUUUAAUGAAACAGAAUAAACCACUGAACAGGUAACUAACAUUAGCGGGGGUUGUGUAUACAUUGAUUAAAUGAGUUCAUAUUUGUGAAGUCCUUAGAAGAGUACCAGGCACAUAGUAAAUGUAUAAGUUUUUGGUAUCAUUCUUUUACAUAUACCUGAAUCCAGAACAAACCAGUCAUACAACCAAAAACUACGCAACAAAAACAAACCCUUUGCUCCUAAAGCAAGUGUGAACAUCAUUGGUAAGUUCUGAUGUUGUCUCUGUGUGACCUGAUAUAGUGGCCUGAGAAACCUAAUUUCUUAAUCUUUGAGCACCCUAAGUAUUUGAACACACAUUCAUUUUUGUUUUUGAGCACUCAUUCAUGAUGACCUUAUAAGUGUCAGAUCAGUUUCAAUUUUGAAACAAAACAAGUCUCUUUAAAACUCUUGGCGAGAUGGUUCUUCAUUGCUUGGGGAAGUGGAACAUAGCUUAGUUUACGGGUAGCCACUGAAAUGGCUAAUGGAGGGUUAGUAAAGACAGAGAGAAGGGCAUUGAGAACAGCACUCCUGUUUUCUGAUGAUGGCAGGUGAUGACUUGAAAUAAGAGGUUUCAAACUGUUGACCCUGCUUAGUGUCAAGACCUACUGACACAUUCCACAGACAUUGGUAAGGGGCAUAUUAGGUGCCUCAUGCUCCGCUGGGGGUUGGGAUUGCAAAGUUGAACACAUCGCCUUUCUCCUCUCCCACCCCAUCGCUCUGGAUCUGCUCCGGUUCCUGCCUUUUUCACCUUGCUGUGGGGAGACCAGGGUCACUGGGCCACAGCGAUGCUCUAGAUGCCACCUUCCCUCUCAUCUUCAUCUCUUCUGUCUCCCCUGCUCCUCCCUCUCAACAUACCACAUGAUUUAUUCAGGAUGGGGAGAAAAACACCGGUUUAUUGAUUUAUUUAUUGAGGUGUAGGGACUCACACUCCAAUUUGAUAGAUGGAGACCUUUCUCCAGAUGUCACUCAUAUUGUACCUUCCUUCGCCCUGACUUCUCUUUCACAAUUUAUGUAGUUUAUCUUAAAUGCUCCGUCGUGUUGUAUUUUGCCAUCUUUCCCUUCUGGGAUAUUAUCUUUGGAAGUUACUUUUCUGUUUGGAGGUGUUACAGAUGACGCUGUUAACGUGAGCGGGGCGGGCACUGCUAGUGCACGCAACGUGUUAGUGGCUUUCAAACCUUGUUAUUGGAACCCACAGGAAGAAAUAUGUGUUAGGUUAGGACCCAGUGCCUGCAUCUGUACAUGUAGCUGUAUGGUUUCCUGAAAACUUUACUAUAUGUGAGUUGUGAUAGAAUUUUCUAGUCUAUUGUAUUCUGUUGCUUAUUUUUUUUCUUUUUUUCUCUCUUCUUUUUAAAUGCUCCUCAUAACCUUCAGAAUGGGUUUCAUAAUCUACUAGUCAGUUGUACUUUGACAAACUUGCAAUAGCUUUAUGCUAUGGUAGGGGCACAUGCUUUCUUGCCUUUUUCUCCCUAUUCUGUGGUAAUGUGCACAAGUCUCUUUUAUCCCUAAAAACCCCCUCAAACUUGCCUUAAUUCUUUAUGUGCAAAACUCUCUCCUUCCUUUUGUAGCUAAGCUUCUGUUUCUGUUUUCUCACAUACCAUUCACUCCUCAACUUUAUUUCUGUUUGAACUUUGACGUUCCUUUCCUGACCAAUAGCAAAGAAUCAUUUUAUUUACCAUUUUGAAUGAAAUAGAUUCCUCUGUAUUGUUAGAUCUUGUGUAUUAAAUAUAAUUUUCAAAAAAGUAGCACCUUUAUUUUUCAUUAAUUCCUAUACUUGUUUAGAUCCCCAUAUUUAAUUUCUCAGAAACAUAACUAUUCUGAUGGUCUAAUCUCACAAUCUUUGUCCUUACAUGGUCCGGGAAUCAUAGAAUUAUAGCAAUGAUGAGGGUUUUUAAAACCUUGUUAUCAUUUUGGUUGCUGUCAUGGGCUGCAGAGAGACACCUGCUGGCCCAAAUGUAGUAGUGCAUUGAUUUUCUGUCCUGAAGUCCAUCAUAUUGUCACUUUUAGGACCUUAAACUUUCGUGGUAUGCACGUAAGCUUGUAUAUUGGAAUGCCUUGACAUCCAGUCUCAAGUGUUUUUAGGGUUUCCAGCUCAGUAUCUAAUGAACUGAAACAUUCAUACCAUAUCACCCCGUCAAAGAGCUGAUGUUUAAUGGGGAAGAAGGAUUUCAUGGUAAAACUUGAUUCCUUACCUUCGUGUGUUCUUAAUGGGACUAGAAACGGAUGGUUUAGUAAACCACCCAGAGCCAGGAUCCAUUUAAGACUUUGGGAAAUGAUCAUUCACUCUUCCAAGAUAGUUAAGAACUGGAAUUUUAAAUGGUGUGGGUUUGCAGCUUGACUUGUUAUAUGAGGCAUACAUUUGGUCUUAGUUAUAGGUCUAGUGCUGGAAAAACAAGAAUCUAAAAGCUACUGCCUAUUUUGAGCCCCUAACCAGAAGAUCCCAGUGACUUUUGUGCACUGCUUAUUUUAGCAAAAUUCUCAUUGAUUUCAGAGGCAAGUUUAUUUAUGAAGAAUCAUAAUUAUGUACAUCUGUAAGAUUAUACAGCGCAUUCAACAAAUGUUAAAGAUUAUAAUGUGCAAAGUGAUUCUUUUUAAAAAAAACUGAGCCAGUAUUCACUGGUCUUUAAGGACUAUUUCCAAGGUUUAUAGGCAAUAAAUGAGGCAGCGUACCCCAGUUUUCUGUGUUGAAAAGAUCUCAUUUGAGAAGUCAUAGAAGUUUCUAAAUUUUUUUAUUGAAGCCAAGGCAAAGUUUAGGGUUUGGUUUAGGGUUAUCGUUUGGUUCUUUGAGUACAUUCUAAUUUCAGUCGUAAUUAAUGAAGCCUUUCCAUAUCAUUAUGAAUGUAGCAGGUUUGCUGAAAACUUAUUUUACAAUUAUUUUAAGUGCCAUAUAGCACAAUUUGGGUUACUUAUUUUGUAGUAUCUAGAGUAUGAAAAUACUCUGAGAACAAAGCAGCAGACUUUAAUAGCUAAAUGUUAAGGUGUAUUUAUCAAAAUCUUUUGAAAAAAUCAUCUAGGAUUCUGUUUUGAUUUUCCCUUUUUUUACUUUCUAACACAAAUUUUAAUGAAUCAUAAAGUGUUUCUUCUAUUAAAUAAGUAGAACACAUACAAUAUUAAAAAUUUCUGAUGUUUUCUUCUUAACCUCGAGUUAAGGGACACUAAGUUCUUCCUGGACAUCCACUCCUCAGAUAUAUUCUUCCUUCUUUUGCCCAGUAAUCAUGUUGAAGAUUAAUUAAAUCAGUCCAGUAUUCUAUGGCCUUGUGCAUUUCUCUCUCUUGAGUUAGGACGCAGUUAGGACCAUCUCUGCAUGAAAGAGGGCCUGGACAGGUCCAGGGGAUGCAGUGGCACUUUCCUGGCAGUUGUAUCAUUUCAAGAUAGUUGAGGCCAGUCCUAGGAAAAGGCCAAAAGGGCUAGACUGAUAGGUGGUCCUGAGCUCUCUCUAACCUGAGAAGAAACAAAAGGGAAUAACCACCGAGCUAAUGGAAAAUCCAGUCUCGGAAAAACUGAAUAAGCAGCUCCUGUAGAAAAGCCAUGAAGACACAUCCUUGCUGCCUUUCCCAAGAUAGCAAUGGACUGCAGCGCCCACAUCACCGUCAUUGCUGCAUCUGCUCGAACGCUGAUCUCGUGUUUACUGUUACAGGGAAUUCUUUUCAUUCUCUUUCCUCUUACCUUUGAGACACCCUACUACUUGUUCUCAUUCCUCUCUGAUUAUUUCUUCCAAGUAGCUUUAUAAGCCACCGUAAAACCUUGGUGUUAUCGCUCCGUCUUCCCUUUGUCCGUUCCAUUCCUGGUUGGUGAACUCACAGGAUUAGCACGGCAUAGCAGAGUCAGGUGCGUAGAAAGUAAUGUGAGAGAGGCUGCAAAUAAAUACUUCCAAAGCCCUACAUUUGAAUCCCAACUUUU